Molecule: ribosomal RNA, 292 nt
Filed under: uncultured bacterium
Lineage: Bacteria
Description: partial 16S ribosomal RNA
Rfam family: Bacterial small subunit ribosomal RNA
Source: RNAcentral
GUGCCAGCAGCCGCGGUAAUACGUAGGGUGCGGGCGUUAAUCGGAAUUACUGGGCGUAAAGCGUGCGCAGGCGGCUCCUUAAGUCAGAUGUGAAAUCCCCGGGCUUAACCUGGGAACUGCGUUUGAUACUGAGGGGCUUGAGUGUGGAAGAGGGGGGUGGAAUUCCAGGUGUAGCAGUGAAAUGCGUAGAGAUCUGGAGGAACACCGAUGGCGAAGGCAGCCCCCUGGGCUAACACUGACGCUCAUGCACGAAAGCGUGGGGAGCAAACAGGAUUAGAUACCCCCGUAGUCC